Molecule: ribosomal RNA, 516 nt
Filed under: Triticum aestivum (bread wheat)
Lineage: Eukaryota; Viridiplantae; Streptophyta; Magnoliopsida; Poales; Poaceae
Description: partial small subunit ribosomal RNA
Source: RNAcentral
AUGCGUCAAAGAAAACCUUGUGUGGUUUGUCCUGCUCCUGCGGCGCUGUGUUCCACCCCAGCUCAGCUGCUCCAACGACGGAAGGGUUCACCACAGCAGGGAUCCGCUCUCCAGACUGUCUUUCGCCGCCUCAGAUCUUCUUCUCCGCCGCCGGCAGCCACGGCAACUGCAUUACCAUCAUCAACUGAGCAGAUGACCUUGAGGACUACACGGGUUCGCAAGAGAGUUAUUGUACACAAUGGAACUGAUCAUGUAGAGCAAAAGAGACGAGCAUUGCGUGGCAAUAAAAUUUCAUGCGGACGUCGUUCCAUGGUGGGCGCAAAGGCAGCCCCCCUCCACCCAUUUCGGAUCGUAAUCAAGAGGAAGAUAACUGUUCUGAGGGGGAUUCAGAAGGAGAAGACCACUCUUAUUUACCCCAUGAGGUUCAAUUACUCUUCCUGUGCAUCAGCCAUUCGGCACCGUCAUGGAAAAAUCUGGAGUGGAAACAAGGUCUUUAGAGCAGACAAUGCUAUCUGA